Molecule: ribosomal RNA, 460 nt
Filed under: uncultured bacterium
Lineage: Bacteria
Description: partial 16S ribosomal RNA
Rfam family: Bacterial small subunit ribosomal RNA
Source: RNAcentral
CCUACGGGAGGCUGCAGUGAGGAAUAUUGGUCAAUGGGCGUAAGCCUGAACCAGCCAAGUCGCGUGAGGGAUGAAGGUUCUAUGGAUCGUAAACCUCUUUUAUAAGGGAAUAAAGUGUGGGACGUGUCCUAUUUUGUAUGUACCUUAUGAAUAAGGAUCGGCUAACUCCGUGCCAGCAGCCGCGGUAAUACGGAGGAUCCGAGCGUUAUCCGGAUUUAUUGGGUUUAAAGGGUGCGUAGGCGGCCUUUUAAGUCAGCGGUGAAAGUUUGUGGCUCAACCAUAGAAUUGCCGGUGAAACUGGGGGGCUUGAGUAUGUUAGAGGCAGGCGGAAUGCGUGGUGUAGCGGUGAAAUGCUUAGAUAGCACGCAGAACCCAGAUUGCGAAGGCAGCCUGCCAGGCCAUGACUGACGCUGAUGCACGAAAGCGUGGGGAUCAAACAGGAUUAGAUACCCGAGUAGUC